CUGGCCAUGGUUAUUGUCUGCACAACAAACGGUACCCAUGAAAGAGUUCCAUCCAUGAUCACAUCUCGUCCUUCGUUCAGUGCAGUUACAAGCAGGGAUGAUGCUGCAUCUGUAGAUGAUUGGUGCACCUACAAAUGCAAUUUAUAUUAAUCAAGUCCAGAAUGGCGAAACAUAGAUGAUGUAAGCUUCUGGUCAUAUGAUGUCUGGAAAGAGAUGCAUACCAGUUCAGCCGUUUGAAGCAUGUCAUGGUGCCCCCUAGAGCUUAGUGCUUUAUAAAUAACAUCCGACUCUUUGAAUGCAUCAGCCUCUAUCACAACAGCAUUUGCAGCUGCUCCUGCCCAGAAUGUUCUGUUCCACCCCAGUUACAAGAUAUAUUAGUUAAUAUGACAUUGGUAUUCUUACUCUUUGAGGAUGUCCUUAAGCACAGUACUCUUCCCAGCUCCCAUACCUCCCCCCAUCAGCAGGAGGACGGGGCUUCUGUCUUUAUGAGCCAUGGGAACCAUCACGUCGGUGCACUUAUCAUCAUUGGAUACGAGUCCAAUCGCCUUCAUCUCCUCUACGAGUGUGUUAAAUACUCUUGCCACCUUCAGAUUCUUUGUCACCCUCUCGAAUCUCUGUU
Molecule: non-coding RNA, 619 nt
Organism: Sesamum indicum (sesame)
Lineage: Eukaryota; Viridiplantae; Streptophyta; Magnoliopsida; Lamiales; Pedaliaceae
Source: RefSeq, a predicted model, not a curated record